AGUUCCAGGAAAAUCACAUUGAAUACACCAGUUCUUGUCAGAUCACUGAAGUUAAGCAAUGUCAAGUGUGGAUAGUAUUUGGAUGGGUUAAUUAUAUUUUAAUUAUCUCACGUUAAAAAAAAAUCUGGUGUGA
RNAcentral lists this ribosomal RNA (133 nucleotides) under Diaphorina citri (Asian citrus psyllid). Lineage: Eukaryota; Metazoa; Arthropoda; Insecta; Hemiptera; Psyllidae. The record is from RNAcentral.